UACGGAGGGUGCUAGCGUUGUUCGGAAUUACUGGGCGUAAAGUGUGCGCAGGCGGCAGAGCAAGUCGAGUGUGAAAGCCCCGGGUUUAACUUGGGAAUUGCGCUCGAAACUACUUUGCUGGAGUGUGGCAGAGGAAGGUGGAAUUCCACGUGUAGCGGUGAAAUGCGUAGAGAUGUGGAGGAACACCAAUGGCGAAGGCAGCCUUCUGGGCCAACACUGACGCUCAUGCACGAAAGCGUGGGGAGCAAACAGG
RNAcentral lists this ribosomal RNA (253 nucleotides) under uncultured bacterium. RNAcentral describes it as "partial 16S ribosomal RNA". It matches the Rfam family "Bacterial small subunit ribosomal RNA", at positions 524 to 776 of the family's 1533-position model. The record is from RNAcentral.